Molecule: non-coding RNA, 378 nt
Organism: Alosa sapidissima (American shad)
Lineage: Eukaryota; Metazoa; Chordata; Actinopteri; Clupeiformes; Clupeidae
Source: the annotation of a RefSeq genome assembly
AUGUUGUCAGUCACCAUCUCUGCCUGGAUAAUGAUCCUCUGGAGUCAUGGUUCCAGUGGAUCUGUAGUUUUGACUCAGUCCCCGGACAUUCAGUCUGUCCAACCUGGCGCUACGGUAUCCAUCACCUGCACAGCCAGCAGCUCUGUGUACUGUUCGACCCAUCGGGUGGAGGAGCUCUCCUGGUACCAGCAGAGAGACAGCAGUGCUCCCACUCUCCUGGUCUCCAAAGUCAGUUCCCUGCAGGCUGGCGUGCCCACUCGUUACAGCGGGAAAGGCAACGGGCUGACCUACACUCUGAUCAUCAGCUCCGUGCAGAUAGAUGAUGCUGCCGUGUAUUACUGUGGACAGACUGCGCACAGGCCAUUCACACAGUGGUAA